This 253-nucleotide ribosomal RNA is filed under the name uncultured bacterium. RNAcentral describes it as "partial 16S ribosomal RNA". It matches the Rfam family "Bacterial small subunit ribosomal RNA", at positions 524 to 776 of the family's 1533-position model. The record is from RNAcentral.
UACGUAGGGGGCGAGCGUUGUCCGGAAUUAUUGGGCGUAAAGAGCGUGUAGGCGGUUCGGUAAGUCUGCCGUGAAAACCUGGGGCUCAACCCCGGGCGUGCGGUGGAUACUGGAAGGCUUGAAUCCGGGAGAGGGAUGCGGAAUUCCAGGUGUAGCGGUGAAAUGCGUAGAUAUCGGAAGGAACAUCAGUGGCGAAAGCGGCUUCCUGGACCAGUACCGACGUUCAGGCACGAAAGCGUGGGGAGCAAACAGG